CUCUGAGCCAAACUUUGAAGAAUGUUUAUUAACGAGUGUCCAUGGGAUCCACAGCUGUCCCGAACUGUAGACCUUAGCCAUGGACUCAGGACAAUUCCUGUGGUAGGAAUCUUGUGGCUUGACACCAGAAGAAACGAUUUUGCAGAUGCUUUAAGAGGACAUGCCCAAUAUGACUCCGUUUUGGGUGUAGUUACUGCACAGAACUCCAGAUGUCAAAACAGAUUUGUGUUGUGUUUCUAUGCUAAUACAUCUCUGCAGG
RNAcentral lists this long non-coding RNA (259 nucleotides) under Homo sapiens (human). RNAcentral describes it as "non-protein coding lnc-GTF2B-4:1". Lineage: Eukaryota; Metazoa; Chordata; Mammalia; Primates; Hominidae. The record is from RNAcentral.